AUGAUAAUUGGAACUUUGAAUAUUAGGGGGGGUGGUAGUGCUCUUAAAAUAAGUAGUAUUAGUUCGAUGAUUAAAAAAGGUGGAGCGGAUAUGUUCUUGAUUCAAGAGGUUAAGUUGGCAAGUAUGUAUGAAGUUUGUGCUAAAAGUAUGUGGAGCAACAAUGAUAUUGGAUACUUGUUUUCUAAUUCAAUUGGGUUGUCCGGGGGAUUUCUCUCAUGUGGAAGGAAGAGGUGGUGGAGGUUAUCCAUAGUUUUAAAGGGGAAGGUUAGUUGGGCAUAA
Vicia faba (fava bean) is the source of this 279-nucleotide non-coding RNA. Lineage: Eukaryota; Viridiplantae; Streptophyta; Magnoliopsida; Fabales; Fabaceae. The record is from the annotation of a GenBank genome assembly.